RNAcentral lists this long non-coding RNA (622 nucleotides) under Triticum aestivum (bread wheat). Its description in RNAcentral is "long non-coding RNA (TAES_LNC005762)". The record is from RNAcentral. Lineage: Eukaryota; Viridiplantae; Streptophyta; Magnoliopsida; Poales; Poaceae.
CUUAUUUAAAAUUACUUCAUUAUGAAUAGGUGUUAUGCUGACCACAUAAAAAAUUAACCUAGAGGCUACAACAAAAAUUACUCCAUGAUGGAGUCUCUGAAUCGCAAUAAUGGAGCUUUACAGACUGUGUUACAUCUAACUUGAACAGUGGCGACAACUAAUGGAUCCCUUCCAAACAGCAGGAAAUCAAAGAUCUCGGAUCUGACGAGGUGUGAAUCUUGAUGAUGUAGCCUGAAAAUAGAUCACGAGCAUAUGGAAAAAGGAUCACUAAACAUCAUGAGCUGUUAAAAGUGUACGAGGAAAAUUUGAACAUAACAACCAAUUAUUUUAUAGAACUUAUACUUGUUCUUCGGAACAAAUGGUAACAAUCAUGAUGUCAUAUCAGAGCUUAUUCAGGACAUCUUUUUUACUAAAGGGAGUACUAUGUUUCAACAAAAUUGUCAAACUAUGUCUACACAUUUAGCAUACUAUUAUCUUUGUCAUCUCAACCUACACUGCUCCGCACCUUGUUAAAAUCUUAACCGUCAAAAUUUAUGCCAUAACAAUAUCUAGGACUUGGUUGUUAAUGGCUAAAAAGCAGUUUUGCUAAGUCCCUAGUGGUGAUGUACUAAGAAUAUGGUGG